AACGAACGCUGGCGGCAUGCCUAACACAUGCAAGUCGAACGAGAUCUUCGGGUCUAGUGGCGCACGGGUGCGUAACGCGUGGGAAUCUGCCCUUUGGUUCGGAAUAACAGUUGGAAACGACUGCUAAUACCGGAUGAUGACGAAAGUCUAAAGAUUUAUCGCCAGAGGAUGAGCCCGCGUAGGAUUAGCUAGUUGGUGUGGUAAAGGCGCACCAAGGCGACGAUCCUUAGCUGGUCUGAGAGGAUGAUCAGCCACACUGGGACUGAGACACGGCCUAGACUCCUACGGGAGGCAGCAGUGGGGAAUAUUGGACAAUGGGCGAAAGCCUGAUCCAGCAAUGCCGCGUGAGUGAUGAAGGCCUUAGGGUUGUAAAGCUCUUUUACCCGGGAUGAUAAUGACAGUACCGGGAGAAUAAGCUCCGGCUAACUCCGUGCCAGCCGCCGCAGUAA
Molecule: ribosomal RNA, 449 nt
Filed under: uncultured bacterium
Lineage: Bacteria
Description: partial 16S ribosomal RNA
Rfam family: Bacterial small subunit ribosomal RNA
Source: RNAcentral